This 1554-nucleotide long non-coding RNA is filed under the name Sparus aurata (gilthead seabream). RNAcentral describes it as "lncRNA (ENSSAUG00010007654.1)". The record is from RNAcentral. Lineage: Eukaryota; Metazoa; Chordata; Actinopteri; Spariformes; Sparidae.
UCGCGUCAGACCACAUCAGUCCACAUCAGUCCUUCAGUCCACAUCAGUCCUUCAGUCCACAUCAGUCCUUCAGUCCACAUCAGUCUACAUCAGUCCUUCAGUCCACAUCAGUCCUUCAGUCCACAUCAGUCCUUCAGUCCACAUCAGUCUACAUCAGUCCUUCAGUCCACAUCAGUCCUUCAGUCCACAUCAGUCUACAUCAGUCCUUCAGUCUACAUCAGUCCUCAUCAGUCCUUCAGUCCUUCAGUCCACAUCAGUCCUUCAGUCCUUCAGUCCAUAUCAGUCCUUCAGUCCAUAUCAGUCCUCAUCAGUCCUCAUCAGACCACAUCAGUCCACAUCAGUCCUUCAGUCCACAUCAGUCCUCAUCAGUCCACAUCAGUCCUUCAGUCCACAUCAGUCCUUCAGUCCACAUCAGUCCUCAUCAGUCUACAUCAGUCCUUCAGUCCACAUCAGUCCUCAUCAGUCUACAUCAGUCCUUCAGUCCUCAUCAGUCCACAUCAGUCCUUCAGUCCACAUCAGUCCUUCAGUCCACAUCAGUCCUCAUCAGUCUACAUCAGUCCUUCAGUCCUCAUCAGUCCACAUCAGUCCUUCAGUCCACAUCAGUCCUUCAGUCCACAUCAGUCCUCAUCAGUCUACAUCAGUCCUUCAGUCCUCAUCAGUCCACAUCAGUCCUUCAGUCCACAUCAGUCCUUCAGUCCACAUCAGUCCUCAUCAGUCUACAUCAGUCCUUCAGUCCUCAUCAGUCCACAUCAGUCCUUCAGUCCACAUCAGUCCUUCAGUCUACAUCAGUCCACAUCAGUCCACAUCAGUCCACAUCAGUCCACAUCAGUCCUUCAGUCCUCAUCAGUCCACAUCAGUCCUUCAGUCCACAUCAGUCCUUCAGUCUACAUCAGUCCACAUCAGUCCACAUCAGUCCACAUCAGUCCUUCAGUCCACAUCAGUCCUCAUCAGUCCUUCAGUCCAUAUCAGUCCUCAUCAGUCCUCAUCAGACCACAUCAGUCCUUCAGUCCACAUCAGUCCUUCAGUCCAUAUCAGUCCUUCAGUCUACAUCAGUCCUUCAGUCUACAUCAGUCCUUCAUUCUACAUCAGUCCUCAUCAGUCCUCAUCAGACCACAUCAGUCCACAUCAGUCCUCAUCAGUCCACAUCAGUCCUUCAGUCCACAUCAGCCCUCAUCAGUCAUUCAGUCCACAUCAGUCCUUCAGUCUACAUCAGUCCUCCAGUCUACAUCAGUCCACAUCAGUCCUUCAGUCCACAUCAGUCCUCCAGUCUACAUCAGUCCACAUCAGUCCUUCAGUCCACAUCAGUCCUCCAGUCUACAUCAGUCCACAUCAGUCCACAUCAGUCCUCCAGUCUACAUCAGUCCACAUCAGUCCUUCAGUCUACAUCAGUCCACAUCAGUCCUCCAGUCUACAUCAGUCCUCAUCAGUCCACAUCAGUCACAGUGGUUCUCCUCCCAUCUGAUCCUCUCAGUAGCCAGUUUAUUACGGUGCUUCCCAUUUUUACAGCAACAAAUUGAAUCACUUGUGAUUUCGUACCGUGAGUUUUUAAUCUAA